Molecule: ribosomal RNA, 468 nt
Filed under: uncultured bacterium
Lineage: Bacteria
Description: partial 16S ribosomal RNA
Rfam family: Bacterial small subunit ribosomal RNA
Source: RNAcentral
GACGAACGCUGGCGGCGUGCUUAACACAUGCAAGUCGAACGGAAAGGCCCUGCUUUUGUGGGGUGCUCGAGUGGCGAACGGGUGAGUAACACGUGAGUAACCUGCCCUUGACUUUGGGAUAACUUCAGGAAACUGGGGAUAAUACCGGAUAGGAGCUCCUGCUGCCUGGUGGGGGUUGGAAAGUUUCGGCGGUUGGGGAUGGACUCGCGGCUUAUCAGCUUGUUGGUGGGGUUGUGGCUUACCAAGGCUUUGACGGGUAGCCGGCCUGAGAGGGUGACCGGCCACAUGGCGACUGAGAUACGGCCCACACUCCUACGGGAGGCAGCAGUGUGGAAUAUUGCACAAUCGGCGGAAGCCGGAUGCAGCAACGCCGCGUGCGGGAUGACGGCCUUCGGGUUGUAGACCGCUUUCGCCUGUGACGAAGCGUGAGUGACGGUAAUGUGUAAAGAAGCACCGGCUAACUACGUG